This 292-nucleotide ribosomal RNA is filed under the name uncultured bacterium. Its description in RNAcentral is "partial 16S ribosomal RNA". It matches the Rfam family "Bacterial small subunit ribosomal RNA", at positions 505 to 796 of the family's 1533-position model. The record is from RNAcentral.
GUGUCAGCAGCCGCGGUAAUACGUAGGGUGCGAGCGUUGUCCGGAAUUAUUGGGCGUAAAGAGCUCGUAGGCGGUUUGUCGCGUCGGCUGUGAAAACUGGAGGCUUAACCUUCAGCGUGCAGUCGAUACGGGCAGACUUGAGUUCGGUAGGGGAGUCUGGAAUUCCUGGUGUAGCGGUGAAAUGCGCAGAUAUCAGGAGGAACACCGGUGGCGAAGGCGGGACUCUGGGCCGAUACUGACGCUGAGGAGCGAAAGCGUGGGGAGCGAACAGGAUUAGAUACCCGCGUAGUCC